AUACGGAGGAUGCGAGCGUUAUCCGGAUUUAUUGGGUUUAAAGGGAGCGUAGGCGGGAGCUUAAGUCAGCGGUUAAAUGGUGCGGCUCAACCGUGCCCUGCCGUUGAAACUGGGUUUCUUGAGAGUGCAAGAGGCGGAUGGAAUUCAUGGUGUAGCGGUGAAAUGCUUAGAUAUCAUGAAGAACUCCGAUUGCGAAGGCAGUCCGCUGGGGCACGUCUGACGCUGAUGCUCGAAGGUGCGGGAAUCAAACAGGAUUAGAUACCCUGGUAGUCCGCACGGUAGACGAUGAUUACCCGCUGUCGGCGGUAGACAGUCGGCGGCCAAGCGAAAGCGAUAAGUAAUCCACCUGGGGAGUACGCCGGCAACGGUGAAACUCAAAUGAAUUGACGGGG
This 392-nucleotide ribosomal RNA is filed under the name uncultured bacterium. Its description in RNAcentral is "partial 16S ribosomal RNA". It matches the Rfam family "Bacterial small subunit ribosomal RNA", at positions 523 to 918 of the family's 1533-position model. The record is from RNAcentral.